Molecule: ribosomal RNA, 372 nt
Filed under: uncultured organism
Description: bacterial SSU rRNA
Rfam family: Bacterial small subunit ribosomal RNA
Source: RNAcentral
GGAGGGUGCGAGCGUUGUCCGGAAUCACUGGGCGUAAAGGGCGCGUAGGUGGCUUGGCAAGCGUGUGGUGAAAGCCCGGGGCUCAACCCCGGGUCUGCCGUGCGAACUGCUAUGGCUUGAGCACUGUAGAGGCAGGUAGAAUUCCGGGUGUAGCGGUGGAAUGCGUAGAGAUCCGGAAGAAUACCGGUGGCGAAGGCGGCCUGCUGGGCAGUGGCUGACACUGAGGCGCGACAGCGUGGGGAGCAAACAGGAUUAGAUACCCUGGUAGUCCACGCCGUAAACGAUGGGCACUAGGUGCUUGGGGGAGCGACCCUCUGAGUGCCGUCGCUAACGCAGUAAGUGCCCCGCCUGGGGAGUACGGCCGCAAGGCUG